GAGGACUGGCGGAUCGGCCUGAUCGUCGGCCCCUCGGGCAGCGGCAAGACGACCGUCGCAAGGAGGGCGUAUGGGGAUCAGCUCUUCGAGUCCGCC
RNAcentral lists this transfer RNA (96 nucleotides) under Posidoniimonas corsicana. Its description in RNAcentral is "Planctomycetes bacterium KOR34 tRNA-Pro". Lineage: Bacteria; Pseudomonadati; Planctomycetota; Planctomycetia; Pirellulales; Lacipirellulaceae. The record is from RNAcentral.